Molecule: ribosomal RNA, 500 nt
Filed under: uncultured bacterium
Lineage: Bacteria
Description: partial 16S ribosomal RNA
Rfam family: Bacterial small subunit ribosomal RNA
Source: RNAcentral
AUUGAACGCUGGCGGAAUGCUUUACACAUGCAAGUCGAACGGCAGCACGGACUUCGGUCUGGUGGCGAGUGGCGAACGGGUGAGUAAUGUAUCGGAACGUGCCCAGUCGUGGGGGAUAACGUAGUGAAAAUUACGCUAAUACCGCAUACGAUCUAUGGAUGAAAGCGGGGGAUCGCAAGACCUCGCGCGAUUGGAGCGGCCGAUAUCAGAUUAGGUAGUUGGUGGGGUAAAGGCCCACCAAGCCAACGAUCUGUAGCUGGUCUGAGCGGACGACCAGCCACGCGGGAACUGAGACACGGGCCAGACUCCUACGAGAGGCAGCAGUGGGGAAUUUUGGACAAUGGGCGAAAGCCUGAUCCAGCCAUUCCGCGUGCAGGAUGAAGGCCCUCGGGUUGUAAACUGCUUUUGUACAGAACGAAAAGGUUUCUACUAAUACUAGGAGCUCAUGACGGUACUGUAAGAAUAAGCACCGGCUAACUACGUGCCAGCCGCCGCCGUAA